UCGAACCCGGCUCUAAAGCUCCCGGCGUUCAGUCUUGCUGGCGAGGUGGGCUUGCCAGGCUGGCCCCAGGACCACCCCCCAGGCCACUGGGCUCCUCUCAUCAUUGUCCAUCCGGUAAGCCAGCCAACUCAUCCGACAUCAUCUGCCUGAGCCCCGGUCGUCUCCCCAUCGACCCUGUCCCCCCCCCACCCCCCGGCCGGCUGCCCUGGGCUCCCAGCUUCCGAGUUGCCUGGGCGAAGAAGACAAACACCCGAGAAAGCAUACACAACGUUUAUUGAGCUCUUCCGGUGAGCUGGACCUGAGCCGAGGGCUGGACACGGAGGCUCCCGUUUAAUCCGUCCGAUGUCCCUAGGAGCUACUCCAAGAAGAGGAAGAACCUGAAAAGACAGGGGAGCAAGAGGAAGGCGGUGAAGAGGAGCCAGCGGGUUGGCAAAACACAGAGGUGGCACUCAGGGCGGAAACACAACUGAGAGGCACCCCGCGGCUCAUUCCUGUGUCGGUUUCACCCAAAUGAGGACGCCAUCCCGCGUGGAACACUAGAAGGAAAGCGUUCUGCAGGAACACGUUAACUACAGGGAUUUCUAUGCAACACUGAUUAAAGCUUGCACACUGGAUG
This 616-nucleotide long non-coding RNA is filed under the name Equus caballus (horse). RNAcentral's name for it is "lncRNA (ENSECAG00000038057.3)". The record is from RNAcentral. Lineage: Eukaryota; Metazoa; Chordata; Mammalia; Perissodactyla; Equidae.